This 301-nucleotide ribosomal RNA is filed under the name uncultured bacterium. RNAcentral describes it as "partial 16S ribosomal RNA". It matches the Rfam family "Bacterial small subunit ribosomal RNA", at positions 509 to 807 of the family's 1533-position model. The record is from RNAcentral.
CAGUAGCCACGGGAAUACGAAGGGGGCUAGCGUUGUUCGGAUUUACUGGGCGUAAAGCGCACGUAGGCGGACUUUUAAGUCAGGGGUGAAAUCCCGGGGCUCAACCCCGGAACUGCCUUUGAUACUGGAAGUCUUGAGUAUGGUAGAGGUGAGUGGAAUUCCGAGUGUAGAGGUGAAAUUCGUAGAUAUUCGGAGGAACACCAGUGGCGAAGGCGGCUCACUGGACCAUUACUGACGCUGAGGUGAGAAAGCGUGGGGAGCAAACAGGAUUAGAUACCCCCGUAGUCCCUGUCUCUUAUAC